UACGUAGGCGGGAAAUUAAGUCAGUAGUGAAAUCCCACAGCUUAACUGUGGAACUGUUAUUGAUACUGGUUUUCUUGAAUAUAGUUGAGGUAGGCGGAAUGUGUAAUGUAGCGGUGAAAUGCUUAGAUAUUACACAGAACACCGAUUGCGAAGGCAGCUUACUAAGCUAUGAUUGACGCUGAGGUACGAAGGCGUGGGGAGCGAACAGGAUUAGAUACCCUGGUAGUCC
This 229-nucleotide ribosomal RNA is filed under the name uncultured bacterium. RNAcentral's name for it is "partial 16S ribosomal RNA". It matches the Rfam family "Bacterial small subunit ribosomal RNA", at positions 568 to 796 of the family's 1533-position model. The record is from RNAcentral.